Molecule: ribosomal RNA, 400 nt
Filed under: uncultured bacterium
Lineage: Bacteria
Description: bacterial SSU rRNA
Rfam family: Bacterial small subunit ribosomal RNA
Source: RNAcentral
UGGGGAAUAUUGGACAAUGGGGGAAACCCUGAUCCAGCCAUGCCGCGUGAGUGAUAAGGCCUUAGGGUUGUAAAGCUCUUUCGCCGAUGAAGAUAAUGACUGUAGUCGGAGAAGAAGCCCCGGCUAACUUCGUGCCAGCAGCCGCGGUAAUACGAAGGGGGCUAGCGUUGUUCGGAAUCACUGGGCGUAAAGCGUGCGUAGGCGGCGUACCAAGCCAGGGGUGAAAUCCCGGAGCUCAACUCCGGAACUGCCUUUGGAACUGGUAUGCUGGAAUACUGGAGGGGAUAGCGGAAUUCCUAAUGUAGAGGUGAAAUUCGUAGAUAUUAGGAGGAACACCGGUGGCGAAGGCGGCUAUCUGGACAGUUAUUGACGCUGAGGCACGAAAGCGUGGGGAUCAAAC